RNAcentral lists this long non-coding RNA (399 nucleotides) under Homo sapiens (human). RNAcentral describes it as "HSALNT0226431". The record is from RNAcentral. Lineage: Eukaryota; Metazoa; Chordata; Mammalia; Primates; Hominidae.
UUCCAGCACUUUGGGAGGCCGAGGCGGGUGGAUCACCUGAGGUCAGGAGUUUGAGACCCGCCUGACCAACAUGGAGAAACCCUGUCUCUACUAAAAAUACAAAAAUUAGCCAGGCAUGGUGGCGCAUGCCUGUAGUCCCAGUUACUCGGGAGGCUGAGGCAGGAGAAUCACUCGAACCUGGAAGGUGGAGGUUGCGGUGAGCCAAGAUCGCGCCAUUGCAUUCUAACCUGGGCAACAAGAGUGAAACUCCAUCUCAAACAAAACAAAACAAAACAAAAACAAAAACAAAAACAGCUGUCCCUGGGCCACCCCAGCUUGUCUCAGCCUCUGGCAGUUCUAAGUGGAGGCACCUGCCUGGAGCCCCCACACCGGGGUGCCGUCCGCAGCCACGAGGGCCGG